AUACGUAGGGAGCGAGCGUUGUCCGGAAUUACUGGGUGUAAAGGGUGCGUAGGCGGGUCAGCAAGUCAGGCGUGAAAUACCGGGGCUCAACUCCGGGGCUGCGCUUGAAACUGUUGGUCUUGAGUGAAGUAGAGGCAGGCGGAAUUCCUAGUGUAGCGGUGAAAUGCGUAGAUAUUAGGAGGAACACCAGUGGCGAAGGCGGCCUGCUGGGCUUUAACUGACGCUGAUGCACGAAAGUAUGGGGAGCAAACAGGAUUAGAUACCCUGGUAGUCCAUGCCGUAAACGAUGAUAGCUAGGUGUGGGGGGUUAUAUGCCGUCCGUGCCGGAGUUAACACAAUAAGUACCCCGCCUGGGGAGUACGGCCGCAAGGCUGAA
RNAcentral lists this ribosomal RNA (376 nucleotides) under uncultured bacterium. RNAcentral's name for it is "bacterial SSU rRNA". It matches the Rfam family "Bacterial small subunit ribosomal RNA", at positions 523 to 898 of the family's 1533-position model. The record is from RNAcentral.